This is a long non-coding RNA of Juglans regia (Persian walnut), 766 nucleotides long. RefSeq lists it as uncharacterized. The record is from RefSeq and is a predicted model, not a curated record. NCBI's taxonomy places the organism in Eukaryota, Viridiplantae, Streptophyta, Magnoliopsida, Fagales, Juglandaceae. The transcript has 3 exons.
CUCCCUUCCCUCGAACCCGUAGCUUCCCUCAUAAGCCAGAUUAAAAUCUCCUUUCUUCUCCUACAUGACAGCUUCCAGGACAAGUCAGUAGUCCCUUUUCCCCUUGUAUCCCUCGACUUCCUGAGCAAGCAAGUGAUUUCCCUUCUCUUCCUCACUCACCCGUUGGUCCUAAGACAAACAAAAGAAAAGAUUUUCCUCAAGUGUUCCUCCCCUCACAUGAAGAACCCUUCGGUUUCCCCUCUCCCAGCCGCGCGACUUCUCCUUUCCCCAAAGCCGAUCUCUCUCAUUUUGUAAACCUAAGAUUUUCCAUCGAAAAUCCUCAAGGAACCAAUCCCCCCAAAUCUUUCAGUUUUGCUCUUCCUCUUCUCGUUGCCAUGUAUUUUCGUGGCUUCUAAGGGGACCCAAAUAGGUAUGAAUGAUGAGGCUGUGGAGCAGGCACUGCUGAGGAGGGAAGGGUUGAUGCUUAGUAUUCCCUGUUGUUUCGGUUUGGUGAUAAUGGUUAUGUUUUAUGUUUUAUGAUGGGUCCCAUGUUGGGACGUUUUGUUGGUUUGACUUUAAAACAAUAUGUCCUUGGGCAUGAUGUAGGUAUUGUGGUGGGAUGAUGAUAAUAGUGUAACUUCUAUAGUGGGGUGAUGGUAACCCCACAUAAGAAGAAUAAAUGUCUUUUGGGUGUGUUGUAGGGACGGAGUCCCCUUUUUAUUGGAACCAACAAUGUUUUAAAUGAAUGAAUGGUGGACUCUGAGAGUCCUUUGGGUAAUAUGUUGAA